AGAAGGAGGAGGGAAUCCAGUGUUUAGCAAGUAGCAUGAUGUGGUUAGUUGUACCUUGUAAGCUUUAUAAUUUGCACAGCUGUGUUAUACAUGCUGACUUCCUCUCCUUUUAGGAUGCCCCUGCCUGGUAAGUUAGGUUUUUAUUCACGGCAUUUUUUUAGGAUGUUGUUCGCAGCAUUUGGGUCCCCCUUCCAGAUUCAAUCUAUCUUUGAGGUCUAUGGAUCAUCUCUCCAGGGCUUCAUCAAUGAGGCAAAGGGCCAUUUUGUCUGCCCUACAAUUACCCAAGAAAGAUGCAAGAAAAACUGCAUAUAGUCUGCCAGAUGGACAAGGAACAUUUGACUGCACUAAAAAAUUUCCAGCAAUGGUAUCCCCAGCUUGCCCAUUUGCUGCGAGCACUGCACAAAGUCAACAAGCAUUUCCCCUGAAAUCUCCACCUCCCCAACUGCCAAACUGGCUUGGCUGGUUACCAGAGGCACUGAGAGGAUGGGAGGAGGGAGCCUAUAGUGUGAAGAUUUGCUUGCACCCUGGUUCUCACCCCAUUGUGAGGUAACUGCUCCAAAACUGAGCUCCAUGUGAGAAAGGAAGUGAAACUGAUUUGCCCAUGGUCUGUCUGGGUGAAGGUUGACCCAGGACUGAAGCACAGAACUGCUGUGGCCCGGGCUGGCCUGGGGCAUGCUGGCCUGAGUCAUGGCUUCCCAGGAAUGCAGCUAGUCUGGAAUGUAGUGCAGGGGCCCAGAUGCCUGACACGGAGCAGGACUUUAGAAAGGGGAAGGUCUUUUCCUAAACACAGGGAAGCCCUACGUUCGUAAAGCAACAAGGGAUCUUUAAAAAAAAAUCCACAUGUGACAGGUUGGUGAAGGCACUGCGGCCAGAGGCUGGUGUGUCCUUCCUGCCAGCUGAGAACCUUACUCCACCCUUUGAGUGUUCCAUUCAGAAUGAAGGCCAAAGGUUUCCAGACUAAAAAAUGCCUUUAAUUCAAGCCCAAGUUAUGCAGGAAGGAGUCUCAGCUUCUGCUGCCAGGCCUGAGAGGCUGACCAAGCUGGAG
This 1045-nucleotide long non-coding RNA is filed under the name Equus caballus (horse). RNAcentral's name for it is "lncRNA (ENSECAG00000054698.1)". The record is from RNAcentral. Lineage: Eukaryota; Metazoa; Chordata; Mammalia; Perissodactyla; Equidae.